This is a non-coding RNA of Phascolarctos cinereus (koala), 320 nucleotides long. The record is from RefSeq and is a predicted model, not a curated record. Lineage: Eukaryota; Metazoa; Chordata; Mammalia; Diprotodontia; Phascolarctidae.
CACCAUGAAAUUUACGUUGAACUGGAUUUUCCUUCUGACUAUUUUCCAAGGUGUCCAGUGUGAUGUGGAGCUGGUGGAGUCUGGGGGAGAUGUGAUACAGCCUGGGGGAUCUCUGAGUCUCUCCUGCAAAGGUUCUGGAUUUACUUUCAGCAGUUACAGGAUGAGCUGGGUCCGCCAGGCUUCAGGAAAGGGACUGGAAUGGGUUGCAAGCAUUAGUGGUAGUAGUGGUAGUACAUACUAUGCAGACUCUGUGAAAGGCCGAUUCACCAUCUCCAGAGAUAAUGGCAACAGCAUCUUAUACCUACAAAUGAUUUCCCUUG